RNAcentral lists this ribosomal RNA (351 nucleotides) under uncultured bacterium. Its description in RNAcentral is "bacterial SSU rRNA". It matches the Rfam family "Bacterial small subunit ribosomal RNA", at positions 28 to 372 of the family's 1533-position model. The record is from RNAcentral.
GAUGAACGCUAGCGGCAGGCUUAAUACAUGCAAGUCGAGGGGCAGCACGAAUAGCAAUAUUUGGUGGCGACCGGCAAACGGGUGCGGAACACGUACGCAACCUUCCCAAAACAGGUGAAUAGCCCUGCGAAAGUAGGAUUAAUACACCGUACCAUAGUUUAGAGGCAUCUUUUUACUAUUAUAGGCAGCAAUGCCGGUUUUGGAUGGGCGUGCGCCUGAUUAGGUAGUUGGCGGGGUAACGGCCCACCAAGCCUCCGAUCAGUAACUGGUGUGAGAGCACGACCAGUCACACGGGCACUGAGACACGGGCCCGACUCCUACGGGAGGCAGCAGUAAGGAAUAUUGGUCAAU